This 697-nucleotide long non-coding RNA is filed under the name Trifolium pratense (red clover). RNAcentral describes it as "long non-coding RNA (TPRA_LNC012487)". Lineage: Eukaryota; Viridiplantae; Streptophyta; Magnoliopsida; Fabales; Fabaceae. The record is from RNAcentral.
GCACACAGCGGUCUGGUUUGGAUCAGGUCAUGCAACCCGGUUGAGCAAUUGAUGCUUCAGGGUUGUGCUACAAAUAGGAGGAAAAACUGCCAAAACACUUUCCUCCAAAGAGCCCAGGUGACAUGGAAAAACAGUCCCUAGGUUUGCUCCCACUCUUAAAUGCCAGGCUAAUAAGGGAAAAUCUAUCAUAAUAGGGUAUGCAAGUGAAAAUGAAAAGAUAGUUGGAGAAGUAGAGGAAGAUCAUUUGACAUCAGAGGAAUAGGAUGAACCAAUUGAAAUUGGUCUUGGGACAAUUAGUUUAGGGGUCCGUAUAUCCUGGACCUAAACUUGUAUUGGUCCAACUUGGACUCAUCAAUUUGAAUCAUUGAUUAAAUAAGGUGCAUAGAUGAUAUGUCCAUCCACACAUAAUUACUCUCUCACUCUCUCCACCCACACCACUUUCCACUUCCAGAAAACAUUUCUCUCCAAAUUCAACAAAACCCUUUCUCGAUUUAAUGUUUCAUUCAACAAUCCAUUUGACAAGUCCAAAACCUGCAAUGUUUGUAAACCCUUAUGAAGAAAUUGAAGAUUAAGCUUUGCAUGUUUGAGAGAUUCUUUAAGAGUUUUCUUGUUAAAGCAUUGUGAGAAAAGUUAAGAAAUUGAAUAUUUUUAAGUUAUUAUAGAUUCUGGAAUUUCCCCUAUUAUCAAGUGUAUAAAU